CUCUUCGAUUCAGCGGCGGACGGGUGAGUAAUGCCUAGGAAUCUGCCUGGUAGUGGGGGACAACGUUUCGAAAGGAACGCUAAUACCGCAUACGUCCUACGGGAGAAAGCAGGGGACCUUCGGGCCUUGCGCUAUCAGAUGAGCCUAGGUCGGAUUAGCUUGUUGGUGAGGUAAUGGCUCACCAAGGCGACGAUCCGUAACUGGUCUGAGAGGAUGAUCAGUCACACUGGAACUGAGACACGGUCCAGACUCCUACGGGAGGCAGCAGUGGGGAAUAUUGGACAAUGGGCGAAAGCCUGAUCCAGCCAUGCCGCGUGUGUGAAGAAGGUCUUCGGAUUGUAAAGCACUUUAAGUUGGGAGGAAGGGCAGCUAGCGAAUACCUGGUUGUUUUGACGUUACCGACAGAAUAAGCACCGGCUAACUCUGUGCCAGCAGCCGCGGUAAUACAGAGGGUGCAAGCGUUAAUCGGAAUUACUGGGCGUAAAGCGCGCGUAGGUGGUUUGUUAAGUUGGAUGUGAAAUCCCCGGGCUCAACCUGGGAACUGCAUCCAAAACUGGCAAGCUAGAGUAUGGUAGAGGGUGGUGGAAUUU
Molecule: ribosomal RNA, 590 nt
Filed under: Pseudomonas sp. EECC-186
Lineage: Bacteria; Pseudomonadati; Pseudomonadota; Gammaproteobacteria; Pseudomonadales; Pseudomonadaceae
Description: bacterial SSU rRNA
Rfam family: Bacterial small subunit ribosomal RNA
Source: RNAcentral